This is a long non-coding RNA of Trachemys scripta elegans, 1135 nucleotides long. RefSeq lists it as uncharacterized. The record is from RefSeq and is a predicted model, not a curated record. Lineage: Eukaryota; Metazoa; Chordata; Testudines; Emydidae. The transcript is spliced from 3 exons.
GGCAAGAGAGACUAGAAAUUCAAAGCACAGGACAUUUAUUGUAUUUGAUGGGAGAAUAGGCCUGAGCAUGGCAAAUCCCAUAGUCAAACAGAGCUCUGUGGAAUCAUCAAAAUGCUACAGCAACAUUUAAUUCUGAAAAGCGACUUUGCAGAAAUGACACCUUCUUAUUGAACAGACUUACUCCCUGUGUAUAUUCGGAGACAAAGCCAUAUCUGCUUAGUUUAGAGACAAAAGGGAUUUUCUUGGUUUUCACUUGAUUCUUCUCAGAACCUUUUUAUUUCUUUUUAACCAGCUUUUAAAGCCUGAAGAUUUCCAGGCACUACAUUCCCACCCAAGAAGAUUUCAACAGGACUGCCAAUUGCAACUGUCUGUGCUGUUUCCUAACUGACCAGAGAGGUGGCUCUUCAGCAACAUGAAGUUCUCCCUUCCUCCCAGGAACUGAGCACGCUGUCUCUGAAUCAUUUACAGCAGUUGUGACCUGAGUUGGAAACUGGUAUCAUGGGAAUCAAAGUGAGGUCUCUCUCGUGGCAGUGCAGGGGACUGUGACAAGUCUCUCUGUUAAGAGUUAAAUUCUCUCUUCUUACACCAAUUUCUUCCCACAUUUCAGUGGGGCAGCAUGGUGAUGGGCGUACCUGAAAGUAGAAUGUGUUCCUUUGUUAUUUUUAUAUAACUAAGCAUUUGAAGCCCAGCAGUUAUGAGAAGAUGAUUCUAGGUCACAGCCCUUGCUCUUACUUGUGACUGAAUCAACAUAAAUUUUAAAGAGAAACUACUGGUGAGCUUAAAUGACCUGGGAAUGUAUUGUAGCAAGCAAUCUUUGAGAAGGAGCAAAUAACUCUUUGUAAACAGCAAGGCUGUCCCAAGGAGAAGACCAAACCGCCAUGAAUUACUGAAGUCUCUGGCCCACUUGCCUCGUGUAUGUCUCAAUCUGGACUGCAUUGAUGCCCUGUAAUUCUCUUAACAGAAAGGAACCUUCUUCCCAAUGCACAUUCUUCACCAACAUAGGUCAUACAUGUAUCUUGGCCACUGUAAUAGGACAUCCAUUCCAAUUCAGGGGGCAUACAUCGGGGGAGAAACAGAUUUCCUAGAUAUGCCGGGCACAUUCCAUUAAAAUCCUGCUGCAUGCUUAUAUAUAAUA